Podarcis lilfordi (Lilford's wall lizard) is the source of this 83-nucleotide non-coding RNA. NCBI's taxonomy places the organism in Eukaryota, Metazoa, Chordata, Lepidosauria, Squamata, Lacertidae. The record is from the annotation of a GenBank genome assembly.
CUAAGGAUGGCCCAGUUGGUUAGAGUAUGGUGCAGAUAAUGCCAAGAUUUCAGGUUCAAUCCCUAUAUUCAGGUUGGACUAGA